RNAcentral lists this ribosomal RNA (428 nucleotides) under uncultured bacterium. Its description in RNAcentral is "partial 16S ribosomal RNA". It matches the Rfam family "Bacterial small subunit ribosomal RNA", at positions 354 to 796 of the family's 1533-position model. The record is from RNAcentral.
GUGGGGAAUAUUGGGCAAUGGGCGCAAGCCUGACCCAGCAACGCCGCGUGAAGGAAGAAGGCUUUCGGGUUGUAAACUUCUUUUACCAGGGACGAAACAAAUGACGGUACCUGGAGAAAAAGCUACGGCUAACUACGUGCCAGCAGCCGCGGUAAUACGUAGGUGGCAAGCGUUGUCCGGAUUUACUGGGUGUAAAGGGCGUGUAGGCGGAACUACAAGUCAGGAGUGAAAACUAUGGGCUCAACUCAUAGCCUGCUUUUGAAACUGUAGUCCUUGAGUGCUGGAGAGGCAAUCGGAAUUCCUAGUGUAGCGGUGAAAUGCGUAGAUAUUAGGAGGAACACCAGUGGCGAAGGCGGAUUGCUGGACAGUAACUGACGCUGAGGCGCGAAAGCGUGGGGAGCAAACAGGAUUAGAAACCCCGGUAGUCC